UACGUAGGGUGCGAGCGUUGUCCGGAAUUAUUGGGCGUAAAGAGCUCGUAGGCGGUGUGUCGCGUCGGCCGUGAAAACCUGGGGCUCAACUCUGGGCGUGCGGUCGAUACGGGCAUCACUUGAGUUCGGCAGGGGAGACUGGAAUUCCUGGUGUAGCGGUGAAAUGCGCAGAUAUCAGGAGGAACACCGGUGGCGAAGGCGGGUCUCUGGGCCGAUACUGACGCUGAGGAGCGAAAGCAUGGGGAGCGAACAGG
Molecule: ribosomal RNA, 254 nt
Filed under: uncultured bacterium
Lineage: Bacteria
Description: partial 16S ribosomal RNA
Rfam family: Bacterial small subunit ribosomal RNA
Source: RNAcentral